Molecule: ribosomal RNA, 577 nt
Filed under: Escherichia coli
Lineage: Bacteria; Pseudomonadati; Pseudomonadota; Gammaproteobacteria; Enterobacterales; Enterobacteriaceae
Description: bacterial SSU rRNA
Rfam family: Bacterial small subunit ribosomal RNA
Source: RNAcentral
UGGCGGACGGGUGAGUAAUGUCUGGGAAACUGCCUGAUGGAGGGGGAUAACUACUGGAAACGGUAGCUAAUACCGCAUAACGUCGCAAGACCAAAGAGGGGGACCUUCGGGCCUCUUGCCAUCGGAUGUGCCCAGAUGGGAUUAGCUUGUAGGUGGGGUAACGGCUCACCUAGGCGACGAUCCCUAGCUGGUCUGAGAGGAUGACCAGCCACACUGGAACUGAGACACGGUCCAGACUCCUACGGGAGGCAGCAGUGGGGAAUAUUGCACAAUGGGCGCAAGCCUGAUGCAGCCAUGCCGCGUGUAUGAAGAAGGCCUUCGGGUUGUAAAGUACUUUCAGCGGGGAGGAAGGGAGUAAAGUUAAUACCUUUGCUCAUUGACGUUACCCGCAGAAGAAGCACCGGCUAACUCCGUGCCAGCAGCCGCGGUAAUACGGAGGGUGCAAGCGUUAAUCGGAAUUACUGGGCGUAAAGCGCACGCAGGCGGUUUGUUAAGUCAGAUGUGAAAUCCCCGGGCUCAACCUGGGAACUGCAUCUGAUACUGGCAAGCUUGAGUCUCGUAGAGGGGGGGUAGAAUU